This 497-nucleotide ribosomal RNA is filed under the name uncultured bacterium. Its description in RNAcentral is "partial 16S ribosomal RNA". It matches the Rfam family "Bacterial small subunit ribosomal RNA", at positions 28 to 507 of the family's 1533-position model. The record is from RNAcentral.
GACGAACGCUGGCGGCGUGCCUAAUACAUGCAAGUAGAACGCUGAAGAGAGGAGCUUGCUCUUCUUGGAUGAGUUGCGAACGGGUGAGUAACGCGUAGGUAACCUGCCUUGUAGCGGGGGAUAACUAUUGGAAACGAUAGCUAAUACCGCAUAACAAUGGAUGACACAUGUCAUUUAUUUGAAAGGGGCAAUUGCUCCACUACAAGAUGGACCUGCGUUGUAUUAGCUAGUAGGUAAGGUAAUGGCUCACCUAGGCGACGAUACAUAGCCGACCUGAGAGGGUGAUCGGCCACACUGGGACUGAGACACGGCCCAGACUCCUACGGGAGGCAGCAGUAGGGAAUCUUCGGCAAUGGGGGCAACCCUGACCGAGCAACGCCGCGUGAGUGAAGAAGGUUUUCGGAUCGUAAAGCUCUGUUGUAAGUCAAGAACGGGUGUGAGAGUGGAAAGUUCACACUGUGACGGUAGCUUACCAGAAAGGGACGGCUAACUACGUG